This 754-nucleotide ribosomal RNA is filed under the name uncultured Lachnospiraceae bacterium. Its description in RNAcentral is "bacterial SSU rRNA". It matches the Rfam family "Bacterial small subunit ribosomal RNA", at positions 28 to 776 of the family's 1533-position model. Lineage: Bacteria; Bacillati; Bacillota; Clostridia; Lachnospirales; Lachnospiraceae. The record is from RNAcentral.
GAUGAACGCUGGCGGCGUGCUUAACACAUGCAAGUCGAACGAAGAAGGUUGGAAUGAGAGCUUCGGCAGGAUUUCUUUCCAUCUUAGUGGCGGACGGGUGAGUAACGUGUGGGCAACCUGCCCUGUACUGGGGAAUAAUCAUUGGAAACGAUGACUAAUACCGCAUGUGGUCCUCGGAAGGCAUCUUCUGAGGAAGAAAGGAUUUAUUCGGUACAGGAUGGGCCCGCAUCUGAUUAGCUAGUUGGUGAGAUAACAGCCCACCAAGGCGACGAUCAGUAGCCGACCUGAGAGGGUGAUCGGCCACAUUGGGACUGAGACACGGCCCAAACUCCUACGGGAGGCAGCAGUGGGGAAUAUUGCACAAUGGGCGAAAGCCUGAUGCAGCAACGCCGCGUGAAGGAUGAAGGGUUUCGGCUCGUAAACUUCUAUCAAUAGGGAAGAAACAAAUGACGGUACCUAAAUAAGAAGCCCCGGCUAACUACGUGCCAGCAGCCGCGGUAAUACGUAGGGGGCAAGCGUUAUCCGGAAUUACUGGGUGUAAAGGGAGCGUAGGCGGCAUGGUAAGCCAGAUGUGAAAGCCUUGGGCUUAACCCGAGGAUUGCAUUUGGAACUAUCAAGCUAGAGUACAGGAGAGGAAAGCGGAAUUCCUAGUGUAGCGGUGAAAUGCGUAGAUAUUAGGAAGAACACCAGUGGCGAAGGCGGCUUUCUGGACUGAAACUGACGCUGAGGCUCGAAAGCGUGGGGAGCAAACAGG